Non-coding RNA from Heterocephalus glaber (naked mole-rat), 1135 nucleotides. The record is from RefSeq and is a predicted model, not a curated record. NCBI's taxonomy places the organism in Eukaryota, Metazoa, Chordata, Mammalia, Rodentia, Bathyergidae.
CACCUCUGACAGGUUCCAAAACCACAUCCACACUGCAGCAAAUAAGGUAACAAAUGUAAAUGCAAAGGGCCUCUUCUACCAUAAGCAUUAGAUUGUCUAUUCCACAAGGUAGAAAGGACAUGAAAAUGAGCCCUCCUGUCAAUGUCAGCUUGGCCCCCAUCUGUUGCAAACCCAGCAGUGGACACCAUGAGAGCUUUUGGGAAAGCCACCAACUGGCAGCAAUUGGGCUACUUCGAAACAGAACCAUGGAACCGCACCAUGCCUGCGCUUGCGUGCUAAGGGUCUGCUUAGCAAGCCAGCCAGAGCCAAGAGGCUAUGUGGAAACAAAUUCCCAAAAAACACAGGUUCCCAUGGAAAAGAAUGGAAAAAGGUCAGGGGAUUUGAGCUCACUUGGCUGCUGUUCCAGCCCUGGGCUGUGCCCGGCGUGGUCUUCCUGCACAGUGACUUCUUUUGACCUGGUUCUGAGACCUUGGCAGCCUGCUUUGUUGUGCUUAAGUUCGACCUUCCCUGACCCCUGUGUCAUUUUCGAUGUCACCAUGGAAAUUUCCAGACCUCCCUGGAGCUGGUUUCUGGCCAUGAGCAUCCACCCCAGAUGCAUGCAUACUCUCUUCCAGCUCUGUGGGAUCCAUCUCGCAGGAGGCUUCGUCCACCAGUCCUGGGGUUCUCUGCAUGCCAUGCCAAGUUAUGGAAACAGUGUCCGAGUCCUCGCUUGCUGCAGGAGAUGUGUUGCUCUCCUGCGUCUGUGUGAUCCCUGUGUCCCAAUCCUGAUCUUCACACCAGAGGAAACGAAGGCCGAGAGCAGGUGGACCCUUCCUUGUGGCCCAGAACCCGUCAGGCACGGUUGAGAUGGAGCCACAUCCAGGGCUGCUCUCAACACAGCUUCCGACGUGAUCAGUGCCACCAGCUUAGCGUGAAAACUGACCCUGGCCAGCCAGGACUUGACCCGUGCUAGUAGGCUGAAGGAUUUUUCCAUUUGUGACACAGUGGCAUGCUUUGGCUUUAGCCUGGGUUGGGAGCUCUGUCCACGCCUGUGAUGCAGACUCUAUUUAAGCUCCAACUUUCCCUUUCCUUCUGGGAACACAGCUAGUCAAUGUCCUUGGCUUAUUAACGGCAGCCUGGUCACUGAAUGGCGAAA